CAGCAGCCGCGGGAAAACGAAGGGUGCAAGCGUUAAUCGGAAUUACUGGGCGUAAAGCGUGCGCAGGCGGUUCGGAAAGAAAGAUGUGAAAUCCCAGGGCUCAACCUUGGAACUGCAUUUUUAACUACCGGACUAGAGUAUGUCAGAGGGAGGUGGAAUUCCACGUGUAGCAGUGAAAUGCGUAGAUAUGUGGAGGAACACCGAUGGCGAAGGCAGCCUCCUGGGAUAAUACUGACGCUCAUGCACGAAAGCGUGGGGAGCAAACAGGAUUAGAUACCCCUGUAGUCCCUGUCUCUUAUAC
Molecule: ribosomal RNA, 301 nt
Filed under: uncultured bacterium
Lineage: Bacteria
Description: partial 16S ribosomal RNA
Rfam family: Bacterial small subunit ribosomal RNA
Source: RNAcentral